AUUAUUCUUAACCAAAUUAAAUAAUAUUUACCUACAGCGUGCUAAGUGUUUUACUGUAUUCACAAAUUGUUGAUAAUGUGAUUCAUGAAUAUCAUUUAUCGUUUUAGAGUCGAAGGAAUUUUUAUGUGUAUUUGAUAUCUGUUAACAUUUGUCCCAGUUAUAAAUGUUAAAGUAAUUCCUGUGUUAAAUUGGACAGUUUAUUGAAAAUCACGGAAACUGAGUGAUGACCUCAUCAAGAACGCCUGUUCCAAUUGGUGAACUAACGAACUGCUUCCUUGUGAACUCGAUCAUCCGUCCUCGCCAGCUGACGGCGUCCUGAUGGACGUCCUGAUUUAUGGUCCAGGUCCACAAAUACCAGAACCAACACCAUCUUCAUUGGCUGACAGGAGGGACACAGGACAUUUAUGAGGACAUUUCUACAAUCUGAAGACAUUUCUGUGGUGUGGCUAGAUGUUUUAUUUCCAGGACAUUUGUGAGGUCAUUUGUGAGGACACGGGCAGACAGUGACUAUCUCCUUAAUGAGGAUGUUUUGCCUGUUCUCCGGUUUGUGCCUUCAUUCCUCACAGGAAGCGGUCUUCAUGAAACGUCUCAGCCUUGGCGCAGUCCUCAGAGGACGGUUGGUCUCUCAAACAAUGUGACGUUUCGUCCCGGAGAUGAAAGUUUAAUGAUUCUGCAGGAGAAAGUGGGAUGAUGAAACCUCACAUCAAGACAAGAUGCUGCUCUGCCCUGGGCUCUGUCUGCAGGCGCUUCGACGUCCCACGUCCUCUUCUGGGGACAUGAACAUAGUCUGAUGGAGACAACCUGAUUAGGGACGGAAAGAAGAUUAAAAAAUAAAACAGUUUAAUUU
Poecilia latipinna (sailfin molly) is the source of this 847-nucleotide long non-coding RNA. RefSeq lists it as uncharacterized. The transcript has 2 exons. Lineage: Eukaryota; Metazoa; Chordata; Actinopteri; Cyprinodontiformes; Poeciliidae. The record is from RefSeq and is a predicted model, not a curated record.